UGGGGAAUUUUGGACAAUGGGGGCAACCCUGAUCCAGCAAUGCCGCGUGUGUGAAGAAGGCCUUCGGGUUGUAAAGCACUUUUGGCGAGAACGAAACGACGCCCGCUAAUACCGGGUGUUAAUGACGGUACUCGCAGAAUAAGGACCGGCUAACUACGUGCCAGCAGCCGCGGUAAUACGUAGGGUCCAAGCGUUAAUCGGAAUUACUGGGCGUAAAGCGUGCGCAGGCGGUUUUGUAAGACGGAUGUGAAAUCCCCGGGCUCAACCUGGGAACUGCAUUCGUGACUGCAAGGCUAGAGUGUGUCAGAGGGAGGUGGAAUUCCGCGUGUAGCAGUGAAAUGCGUAGAGAUGCGGAGGAACACCGAUGGCGAAGGCAGCCUCCUGGGAUAACACUGACGCUCAGGCACGAAAGCGUGGGGAGCAAACAG
This 428-nucleotide ribosomal RNA is filed under the name uncultured bacterium. Its description in RNAcentral is "bacterial SSU rRNA". It matches the Rfam family "Bacterial small subunit ribosomal RNA", at positions 355 to 775 of the family's 1533-position model. The record is from RNAcentral.